RNAcentral lists this ribosomal RNA (253 nucleotides) under uncultured bacterium. RNAcentral's name for it is "partial 16S ribosomal RNA". It matches the Rfam family "Bacterial small subunit ribosomal RNA", at positions 524 to 776 of the family's 1533-position model. The record is from RNAcentral.
UACGUAGGGUGCAAGCGUUGUCCGGAAUUAUUGGGCGUAAAGAGCUCGUAGGCGGUCUGUCGCGUCGGCUGUGAAAUCCCGAGGCUCAACCUCGGGUCUGCAGUCGAUACGGGCAAACUUGAGUGUUGCAGGGGAGACUGGAAUUCCUGGUGUAGCGGUGAAAUGCGCAGAUAUCAGGAGGAACACCGGUGGCGAAGGCGGGGCUCUGGGCAGCAACUGACGCUGAGGAGCGAAAGCGUGGGGAGCGAACAGG